Molecule: long non-coding RNA, 437 nt
Organism: Maniola jurtina (meadow brown)
Lineage: Eukaryota; Metazoa; Arthropoda; Insecta; Lepidoptera; Nymphalidae
Exons: 3
Source: RefSeq, a predicted model, not a curated record
ACAGAUAGAGAACACAGUGUCCCUGUCAUGGUUCCCUUUUUCGAUACAGAACCCUAAAGAUGAUGAAAGAUUAAACAUUAUUGCGGUUGUAAAAAUAAUUGAAAAAGAAAGGCCGAUUACAAGCCGAUUACGAUAAUUCCGAUAAGAUUGUUCUACAAUCUAGAGUUGAAGUCAUCACUCAAAAUUGUUGCUUAUAAAAGUCAAUUCGAAAUCUAUUAAUUUUACGUCGGGUUUUAACUGUAAAUCAAAUAGGUAUCGCACGAUCUUUUGGCGAGUCAUUAUUGUAAAAUUGGCAAUUGAUUCGAUUAUGAACCAGUUUAGCGUUUUUGUAAAUAAUUCCGACUUUAAAACUAAAAUCGAUUAAGUGCCGAUUUCACCAACGUCGAGUGACUUCUAACCGAGGAAUAAAUUGAGCGUAAUGACACUUUUUGAACUGA